UCGGGAAUUUUGGGCAAUGGGCGAAAGCCUGACCCAGCAACGCCGCGUGAGGGAUGAAGUAUUUCGGUAUGUAAACCUCGAAAGAAUGGGAAGAAUAAAUGACGGUACCAUUUAUAAGCUCCGGCUAACUACGUGCCAGCAGCCGCGGUAAUACGUAGGGAGCAAGCGUUGUUCGGCUUUACUGGGCGUAAAGGGAGCGUAGGCGGCGCGGUAAGUCACUUGUGAAAUCUCUGAGCUUAACUCAGAACGGCCAAGUGAUACUGCUGUGCUAGAGUGCGGAAGAGNCAACCGGAAUUAUUGGUGUAGAGGUGAAAUGCGUAGAUAUCAAGAGGAACACCUGAGGCGAAGGCGGGUUGCUGGGCCGACACUGACGCUGAUGCGCGAAAGCCUGGGGAGCAAACG
This 402-nucleotide ribosomal RNA is filed under the name uncultured bacterium. RNAcentral describes it as "bacterial SSU rRNA". It matches the Rfam family "Bacterial small subunit ribosomal RNA", at positions 355 to 774 of the family's 1533-position model. The record is from RNAcentral.